This 253-nucleotide ribosomal RNA is filed under the name uncultured bacterium. RNAcentral describes it as "partial 16S ribosomal RNA". It matches the Rfam family "Bacterial small subunit ribosomal RNA", at positions 524 to 776 of the family's 1533-position model. The record is from RNAcentral.
UACGUAGGGUGCAAGCGUUGUCCGGAAUUAUUGGGCGUAAAGAGCUCGUAGGCGGUUUGUCGCGUCUGCUGUGAAAACUCGGGGCUUAACUCCGGGCCUGCAGUGGGUACGGGCAGACUAGAGUGCGGUAGGGGAGACUGGAAUUCCUGGUGUAGCGGUGAAAUGCGCAGAUAUCAGGAGGAACACCGGUGGCGAAGGCGGGUCUCUGGGCCGUAACUGACGCUGAGGAGCGAAAGCGUGGGGGGCGAACAGG